This 408-nucleotide ribosomal RNA is filed under the name uncultured Diversispora. Its description in RNAcentral is "partial 28S ribosomal RNA". The record is from RNAcentral. Lineage: Eukaryota; Fungi; Glomeromycota; Glomeromycetes; Diversisporales; Diversisporaceae.
GAGAGUUAAAUAGUACGUGAAAUUGUUGAAAGGGAAACGAUUGAAGUCAGUCAUGCUAGUGAAAAUUCAGUUUGACGGGUUUUGGGUUUAGGAGUAAGAGGUAGGGUUAAACCGUCUCUCUUUUAAACUUGGGAUUUGUCGGAUGCACUUUUUCUUUGGCAGGUCAGCGUCGAUUUCGAGGGUUGUAAAAUACUUGGGGGAAAGUAGCUCUGCUUCGGGAGAGUGUUAUAGACCUUGGGAGAUGCAGCCCGUGGGAUCGAGGAUUGCAGCAAAUGCCUUUGGCUUGUCUUCUGAUCUUUGGUUGUUACCUCGUUUAUGACAACAUUCUUGUCAUCGAUGAGUUCUAAUGGUUAUGGGUUAGAAUGAUCAAAAAUUUGCUAAGGAUGCUGACGUAAUGGCUUUAAACGA